CUUCUGAGCUAACAUAGUCAAGCGUGGUGUCUGGAAUGCGAGAUAGAUCAUCACCUUGUGAUUCACUAUAGCGUGGUUUCUAAAAUCUGUUUCAUUGCAUUUAUUUUGAAAAUCGUUUACAAACUACAAUGUUAAAUAUUGAUAUGUAUGCUGCUGUUCAGACUGCAAUUUCGCAAGAGAAUGAUAAAUCUCUGAAUGAAUUGAAAUUGCGUUUGAAUGAGGAAUAUUUUGGGGCGACUAAAAUGUCGAGAGAGGAAUUCUUAUUGCUUUAGAAAGACGAAACAUCAUUGAGCAGAGAGUUCUCAGCAGAAAUUUACAUCCCCAAAAUCGUGCGUAAGCAACACGAGGACAAAGGAAAUGUAUGCAUGGCUUUAAGAUCAGAAGUAUCUGGCAACUGUCUCUACAGUUCAGUGUCAUUGCUUUUGGCAGUUUUUUUUCCUAGCAAAACUAAAAGGACAAUUUCUGGUCCAACAUGCCCAGUGCCU
Xenia sp. Carnegie-2017 is the source of this 485-nucleotide long non-coding RNA. RefSeq lists it as uncharacterized. Lineage: Eukaryota; Metazoa; Cnidaria; Anthozoa; Malacalcyonacea; Xeniidae. The record is from RefSeq and is a predicted model, not a curated record. The transcript is spliced from 3 exons.